Molecule: ribosomal RNA, 253 nt
Filed under: uncultured bacterium
Lineage: Bacteria
Description: partial 16S ribosomal RNA
Rfam family: Bacterial small subunit ribosomal RNA
Source: RNAcentral
GACAGAGGGGGCAAGCGUUGCUCGGAAUCACUGGGCGUAAAGGGCGCGUAGGCGGGAUGGCAAGUCGGUCGUGAAAUCCUUCGGCUCAACCGAAGAACGUCGGCCGAUACUGCCGUUCUUGAGGAUUGCAGAGGAGACUGGAAUUCCCGGUGUAGCGGUGAAAUGUGUAGAGAUCGGGAGGAACACCGGUGGCGAAGGCGGGUCUCUGGGCAAUUCCUGACGCUGAGGCGCGAAAGCGUGGGGAGCAAACGGG